GCUCCAGCCUUGUCUGUGACUUACUGAAUCUUCAUUUUUACAAGAUUGGCAGGUGUGACCCAUCUGGACAUUAAAGUUCUGUGCUAGUAGAACAUUCUUUUCAGUUCAGUGAAAACCAGCUUUUUUCCUUCUUGUGAAAAAAUUACCAAGAAAAUGUAACAAGUUAUUUGAAAGAUCUGUACUGUUAAUAACACUAAGGAAUAACUAGAGCUGAAAAGGACCCUAGGUAUAUGGUUUUAACCUGUAGUUGAGGUAGGUCAAAGGAAUAGUUUAGCAACACGUUUGUAUUGACUUAUCUGUAAUUAGAAUACAGGUCCCUGGGUUUCCAGUUCAGACCUAUAAUGUGUAAAGCAAAUAGAGACCUGCUGUUAUUCAUAAAUUAAAACUACUGGAAUUCAGUGUGCAAGUUAAUAGGUAAAUAGCUAAUAAUAGUAAUCAAUUUUAUUUAGUAAUAAAUACCAAGUUCAUGAAAGAUCUUCCACAUGAAUUGAUUUUGUUGAAUGAUUUGAAAUUAACACUCUUCAGCCCUGUCUGUAUUACAUCAUGCUUGCAUAUGUGUGUGCUCCCUCAGUCGUGUCCGACUCUGUGUGACCCCGUGGACUGCAGCCUGCCAGGCUUCUCUAUCCAUGGGAUUUCCCAGGCAAAAAUACUGGAGUUGGUUGCCAUUUCCUUCUCCAGGGGAUCUUCCUGACCCAGGGAUCGAAGCUGAGUCUUCUCUCUCUCCUGCAUGGGCCAGUGGAUUCUUUACCACUGAGCCACAUUGAAAGCCCCUAUUACAUCAUUCAGUUCAGUUCAGUCACUCAGUCAUGUUCAACUUUUUGCGACCCCAUGAAUUGCAGCACGCCAGGCCUCCCUGUCCAUCACCAACUGCUGGAGUCUAACUAAACCCAUGUCCAUUGAGUCAGUGAUGCCAUCCAACCAUCUCAUUCUCUGUUGUCCCCUUCUCCUGCCAUCAAUCUUUCCCAGCAUCAGGGUCUUUUCAAAUGAGUCAGUUCUUCGCAGCA
This is a long non-coding RNA of Bos taurus (domestic cattle), 1004 nucleotides long. The record is from Ensembl. NCBI's taxonomy places the organism in Eukaryota, Metazoa, Chordata, Mammalia, Artiodactyla, Bovidae.